UGAGUCCUGUGCUGGGCUUUGUGCUGGGCAUGGAGUCUGCUCAAGAUUCUUUCUCUCUCUCUUUCUCUGACCCUCCCCACCUCUAAAAGAAAAAAAGCCAGGAGGGUACGCUGUGAGAAGUCCAAUGAAGCAUGUGCAUGUCAUCGAGGGAGCAACAGUUGUGAUCCCCAUGUUCCAAGUGAAACGGAGAGAUCAGGUAACUUGUUCAUGGGUCAGCCAGUGCAUAGAAGAACGGGACCCAAACCCCGGGGUCCGUCGUCUUUGCAGCUGUCCUAUGCUGCCUCUCCAUUCUCAGAUAUGAUGCUGAUUAUUUUUGUGAUGGUCACAGCUUCUGGGAUUAUUUCCCAUUUUGUAGAUGGAGAAACUGAGGUCCGAGGAGGGUUCA
Molecule: long non-coding RNA, 385 nt
Filed under: Mustela putorius furo (domestic ferret)
Lineage: Eukaryota; Metazoa; Chordata; Mammalia; Carnivora; Mustelidae
Description: lncRNA (ENSMPUG00000031441.1)
Source: RNAcentral